This 446-nucleotide ribosomal RNA is filed under the name uncultured bacterium. RNAcentral describes it as "partial 16S ribosomal RNA". It matches the Rfam family "Bacterial small subunit ribosomal RNA", at positions 338 to 795 of the family's 1533-position model. The record is from RNAcentral.
CCUACGGGUGGCUGCAGUCGAGAAUCAUUCACAAUGGGGGAAACCCUGAUGGUGCGACGCCGCGUGGGGGAAUGAAGGUCUUCGGAUUGUAAACCCCUGUCAUGUGGGAGCAAAUUAAAAAGAUAGUACCACAAGAGGAAGAGACGGCUAACUCUGUGCCAGCAGCCGCGGUAAUACAGAGGUCUCAAGCGUUGUUCGGGAUCACUGGGCGUAAAGCGUGCGUAGGCUGUUUCGUAAGUCGUGUGUGAAAGGCGCGGGCUCAACCCGCGGACGGCACAUGAUACUGCGAGACUAGAGUAAGGGAGAGGGAACCGGAAUGCUCGGUGUAGCAGUGAAAUGCGUAGAUAUCGAGAGGAACACUCGGGGCGAAGGCGGGUUCCUGGACAUUAACUGACGCUGAGGCACGAAGGCCAGGGGAGCGAAAGGGAUUAGAUACCCUUGUAGUC